AUACGAAGGGGCCAAGCGUUGUUCGGAAUUAUUGGGCUUAAAGAGCACGUAGGCGGCUCGUUAAGCGUCUUGUGAAAUCCCUCGGCUUAACCGGGGAAUCGCUCGGCGAACUGGCGAGCUUGAGCCAAGUAUAGGUGCGUGGAACUCAAGGUUGAGCGGUGAAAUGCGUAGAUAUCUUGAGGAACGCCUGUGGUGAAAACGGCGCACUGGGCUUGGUCUGACGCUGAGGUGCGAAAGUGUGGGUAGCGAACGGGAUUAGAAACCCGAGUAGUCC
Molecule: ribosomal RNA, 274 nt
Filed under: uncultured bacterium
Lineage: Bacteria
Description: partial 16S ribosomal RNA
Rfam family: Bacterial small subunit ribosomal RNA
Source: RNAcentral